RNAcentral lists this ribosomal RNA (468 nucleotides) under uncultured bacterium. Its description in RNAcentral is "partial 16S ribosomal RNA". It matches the Rfam family "Bacterial small subunit ribosomal RNA", at positions 28 to 507 of the family's 1533-position model. The record is from RNAcentral.
GACGAACGCUGGCGGCGUGCUUAACACAUGCAAGUCGAACGGAAAGGCCCUGCUUUUGUGGGGUGCUCGAGUGGCGAACGGGUGAGUAACACGUGAGUAACCUGCCCUUGACUUUGGGAUAACUUCAGGAAACUGGGGCUAAUACCGGAUAGGAUCUCCUGCUGCAUGGUGGGGGUUGGAAAGUUUCGGCGGUUGGGGAUGGACUCGCGGCUUAUCAGCUUGUUGGUGGGGUAGUGGCUUACCAAGGCUUUGACGGGUAGCCGGCCUGAGAGGGUGACCGGCGACAUUGGGACUGAGAGACGGCCCAGACUCCUACGGGAGGCAGCAGUGGGGAAUAUUGCACAAUGGGCGGAAGCCUGAUGCAGAAACGCCGCGUGCGGGAUGACGGCCUUCGGGUUGUGAACCGCUUUCGCCUGUGACGAAGCGUGAGUGACGGUAAUGGGUAAAGAAGCACCGGCUAACUACGUG